UUGUUGGUAAGGUAAAAGCUUACCAAGGCUUCGAUCAGUAGCUGGUCUGAGAGGACGACCAGCCACACUGGGACUGAGACACGGCCCAGACUCCUACGGGAGGCAGCAGUGGGGAAUUUUGGACAAUGGGGGCAACCCUGAUCCAGCCAUGCCGCGUGAGUGAAGAAGGCCUUCGGGUUGUAAAGCUCUUUCAGCCGGAACGAAACGGUUACGGUUAACACCCGUGACUACUGACGGUACCGGAAGAAGAAGCACCGGCUAACUACGUGCCAGCAGCCGCGGUAAUACGUAGGGUGCGAGCGUUAAUCGGAAUUACUAGGCGUAAAGCGUGCGCAGGUGGUUUUGUAAGUCAGAUGUGAAAGCCCCGGGCUCAACCUGGGAACUGCGUUUGAAACUACAAGACUAGAGUGUGGCAGAGGGGGGUGGAAUUCCGCGUGUAGCAGUGAAAUGCGUAGAGAUGUGGAGGAACACCGAUGGCGAAGGCAGCCCCCUGGGUCAACACUGACGCUCAGGCACGAAAGCAUGGGGAGCAAACAGGAUUAGAUACCCUGGUAGUCCAUGCCCUAAACGAUGUCAACUAGUUGUCGGGCCUUUACGGGCUUGGUAACGUAGCUAACGCGUGAAGUUGACCGCCUGGGGAGUACGAUCGCAAGAUUAAAACUCAAAUGAAUUGACGGGGACCCGCACAAGCGGUGGAUUAUGUGGAUUAAUUCGAUGCAACGCGAAAAACCUUACCUACCCUUGACAUGUAUCGAAGCCCGCAGAAAAGCGGGGGUGCCCGAAAGGGAACGAUAACACAGGUGCUGCAUGGCUGCCGUCAGCUCGUGUCGUGAGAUGUUGGGUUAAGUCCCGCAACGAGCGCAACCCUUGUCAUUAAUUGCCAUCAUUUAGUUGGGCACUUUAAUGAGACUGCCGG
This 916-nucleotide ribosomal RNA is filed under the name uncultured bacterium. RNAcentral's name for it is "bacterial SSU rRNA". It matches the Rfam family "Bacterial small subunit ribosomal RNA", at positions 246 to 1155 of the family's 1533-position model. The record is from RNAcentral.